CAGAGUUGCAAAACUCCCACAAACCAUCGCGAAUCUUACCCGUACGGUUGCCUCGGCGCUGGCGGUCCGGAAGGCCCUCGGGCCCCGGACCCUCGGGUCUCCCGCUCGCGGGAGGCUGCCCGCCGGAGUGCCGAAACCAAACUCUUGAUUAUUUUAUGUCUCUCUGAAGUUAAACUUUUAAAUAAGUCA
This 189-nucleotide unclassified non-coding RNA is filed under the name uncultured Ascomycota. Its description in RNAcentral is "sequence contains ITS1". The record is from RNAcentral. Lineage: Eukaryota; Fungi; Ascomycota.